CCUACGGGAGGCAGCAGUGAGGGAUAUUGGUCAAUGGGGGAAACCCUGAAGCAGCAACGCCGCGUGAGGGCAGACGGUUUUCGGAUUGUAAACCUCUGUCGUCUGAGAAGAUAAUGACGGUAGCAGAGGAGGAAGCUCCGGCUAACUACGUGCCAGCAGCCGCGGUAAUACGGAGGGGGCAAGCGUUUUCCGGAUUUACUGGGUGUAAAGGGUGCGUAGGCGGGCCUGCAAGUCAGAAGUGAAAUCCUUGGGCUUAACCCGAGAACUGCAUUUGAAACUGUAGGUCUUGAGUAGAGGAGAGGUAGGUGGAAUUCUCGGUGUAGGGGUAAAAUGCGUAGAGAUCGGGAGGAAUACUCGUGGCGAAGGCGGCCUGCUGGACUUUAACUGACGCUGAAGCACGAAAGCGUGGGGAGCAAACAGGAUUAGAUACCCCGGUAGUC
This 440-nucleotide ribosomal RNA is filed under the name uncultured bacterium. RNAcentral describes it as "partial 16S ribosomal RNA". It matches the Rfam family "Bacterial small subunit ribosomal RNA", at positions 338 to 795 of the family's 1533-position model. The record is from RNAcentral.